CCUACGGGGGGCUGCAGUGGGGAAUAUUGCGCAAUGGGGGAAACCCUGACGCAGCAACGCCGCGUGAGCGAAGAAGGCCUUCGGGUCGUAAAGCUCUGUCAUAAGGGACGAAGUCUCUCAAAAAGAGAGGUGACGGUACCUUAAGAGGAAGCCCCGGCUAACUACGUGCCAGCAGCCGCGGUAAUACGUAGGGGGCAAGCGUUGUCCGGAAUUAUUGGGCGUAAAGGGCGUGUAGGCGGUUAAUUAAGUCAGGUGUGAAAGCCCGGGGCUCAACCCCGUGAUUGCACCUGAAACUGGUUAACUUGAGGGCAAGAGAGGAAAGCGGAAUUCCUAGUGUAGCGGUGAAAUGCGUAGAUAUUAGGAGGAACACCAGUGGCGAAGGUGGCUUUCUGGCUUGACCCUGACGCUGAGGCACGAAAGCGUGGGGAGCGAACAGGAUUAGAUACCCUUGUAGUC
RNAcentral lists this ribosomal RNA (456 nucleotides) under uncultured bacterium. Its description in RNAcentral is "bacterial SSU rRNA". It matches the Rfam family "Bacterial small subunit ribosomal RNA", at positions 338 to 795 of the family's 1533-position model. The record is from RNAcentral.